GACGAACGCUGGCGGCGUGCUUAACACAUGCAAGUCGAACGGAAAGGCCCUGCUUUUGUGGGGUGCUCGAGUGGCGAACGGGUGAGUAACACGUGAGUAACCUGCCCUUGACUUUGGGAUAACUUCAGGAAACUGGGGCUAAUACCGGAUAGGAGCUCCUGCUGCAUGGUGGGGGUGGAAAGGUUCGGCGGUUGGGGAUGGACUCGCGGCUUAUCAGCUUGUUGGGGGGGGAGUGGCUUACCAAGGCUUUGACGGGUAGCCGGCCCGAGAGGGUGACCGGCCACAUUGGGACUGAGAUACGGCCCAGACUCCUACGGGAGGCAGCAGUGGGGAAUAUUGCACAAUGGGCGGAAGCCUGAUGCAGCAACGCCGCGUGCGGGAUGACGGCCUUCGGGUUGUAAACCGCUUUCGCCUGUGACGAAGCGUGAGUGACGGUAAUGGGUAAAGAAGCACCGGCUAACUACGUG
Molecule: ribosomal RNA, 467 nt
Filed under: uncultured bacterium
Lineage: Bacteria
Description: partial 16S ribosomal RNA
Rfam family: Bacterial small subunit ribosomal RNA
Source: RNAcentral